Molecule: ribosomal RNA, 305 nt
Filed under: uncultured bacterium
Lineage: Bacteria
Description: partial 16S ribosomal RNA
Rfam family: Bacterial small subunit ribosomal RNA
Source: RNAcentral
ACAGCAGUAGCCACGGUAAUACGGAGGAUCCAAGCGUUAUCCGGAAUCAUUGGGUUUAAAGGGUCCGUAGGCGGUCUUGUAAGUCAGUGGUGAAAGCCCAUCGCUCAACGGUGGAACGGCCAUUGAUACUGCAGGACUUGAAUUAUUGGGAAGUAACUAGAAUAUGUAGUGUAGCGGUGAAAUGCUUAGAGAUUACAUGGAAUACCAAUUGCGAAGGCAGGUUACUACCAAUUGAUUGACGCUGAUGGACGAAAGCGUGGGUAGCGAACAGGAUUAGAUACCCCGGUAGUCCCUGUCUCUUAUAC